GAGCUGAAGGAGAAGAAGAGUCCUAAAACUAGGCAAAGGAAACUGAUAUACAUCAUUCUUAUUUAAAACUUUAUUACGGGAAUUUCAAACAUAUUUCAAACAAGAAGACCCUCACAGGAUGUGGUCACUUGAUUUUGGACUUCCCGGCCUCCACAACUGUUUCAUCUCCUGGCCUUGAACAGUCCUCCCACCUCAGCCUGCCAAGUAGCUGGGAUUACAGGCCUGAGCCACCAUACCUGGCAACAAGA
Long non-coding RNA from Pan troglodytes (chimpanzee), 248 nucleotides. RefSeq lists it as uncharacterized. The record is from RefSeq and is a predicted model, not a curated record. The transcript is spliced from 3 exons. NCBI's taxonomy places the organism in Eukaryota, Metazoa, Chordata, Mammalia, Primates, Hominidae.